This 460-nucleotide ribosomal RNA is filed under the name uncultured bacterium. RNAcentral's name for it is "partial 16S ribosomal RNA". It matches the Rfam family "Bacterial small subunit ribosomal RNA", at positions 338 to 795 of the family's 1533-position model. The record is from RNAcentral.
CCUACGGGUGGCAGCAGUGAGGAAUAUUGGUCAAUGGACGAGAGUCUGAACCAGCCAAGUAGCGUGAAGGAUGACUGCCCUAUGGGUUGUAAACUUCUUUUAUAUGGGAAUAAAAUGUUCCACGUGUGGGAUUUUGUAUGUACCAUAUGAAUAAGGAUCGGCUAACUCCGUGCCAUCAGCCGCGGUACUACGGAGGAGCCGAGCGUUAUCCGGAUUUAUUGGGGUUAAAGGGAGCGUAGGUGGAUUGUUAAGUCAGUUGUGAAAGUUUGCGGCUCAACCGUAAAAUUGCAGUUGAAACUGGCAGUCUUGAGUACAGUAGAGGUGGGCGGAAUUCGUGGUGUAGCGGUGAAAUGCUUAGAUAUCACGAAGAACCCCGAUUGCGAAGGCAGCUUACUAAACUGUGACUGACAUUGAUGCUCGAAAGUGUGGGUAUCAAACAGGAUUAGAUACCCUGGUAGUC